AUUAUUAUUAUCAUCAUCAUCAUCAUCAUCAUCAUCAUCAUCAUCAUUAUUAUUAUUAUUAUUAUUAUUAUUAUUGUUGUUGUUGGGUAAUUUCCCUGUGUCUAUCUCGCUUUCUCUGAGCGCGUUCACUGUUAUUUUCGCCUCCCUUUCCUCACCCGGCGUGUCGGAAAAGGACGCCUUGACGCGCAGGGGCGGGUCGCCGCUUCGCUCCGCUCCGCUCGAAGUUUCCUCUUUCUCACCGUAUAAAGGGCGGCUGCCAGCGCCAUGGCCGGGAACGAGCACAGCCGCGUUCCGUUCCGCCGUCACUCGGGAACCCUGCGCUCAUCGCCCUCCUUCGUCUUCAUCCUUUUUGCUUCAUUAUCAUUCCGUGCCGGCGAUGACCGCCAUGGAUGUGGAAGCGCUGCACCCGCCGGCGGCGUCGGCCAGCAGCCGCGGCGCGCGGCUCCGCACGUGCCUGCUCGCCUCAGUGGGCGCGCUUUUCGUCUGCGUGCUGGGGGUCUCCCUCGCGGUGACCCUCCUCGCGCUCGGGAUCCAGGGCGAGCUGGAUAAGCUUUGGGAAAAGAAGGUGCAGAGCUCUGCACAUCUGGAAAUUGCUCAUAGUCAUUUGAGUAAUAUAACCCUAAGGUGGACAGCGAAGAACCUUGGCAGCAGGUUCAACUACUCAGAGGAAAUCCACGCCCUGGAGGUCAUGCACAGCGGCAUGUACCUGAUGUACCUGAACCUGGGAGUGCGCUGCCCCCAUGAGGCCCAGGGGGGCUGUGGGCAGACCUCCGUUGCGGUCAGUGUGAAUGACAUGCACAGUACCAAGCUGGAGUGCAGGAUGGAGCUCCCUGCAAGCCAUCCCUGCCAGAAAGUGCACCGGUGCUUGGCCGCGGUGAUGCUGCGCGGAAACCAGCGGCUGUUGAUCAAUAUGAAGGUGAAGGGCGACUCUCAGCGCUGGAAACUGGAACGGGACAGCACCAGAUUUGGGCUGGUGCCGGUGGACUCGUCGACAGCCUGAAGAAGCGAGGCCCCGGAAGGACCGGAACACCGAGGGACGCAGCGUGCUGGGGUCGACAGAGAAAGAUGAUCACAGACCAGCCAACAGUUACAGAAACGGGAGGCUCCCUGUCCCGUCAGCUGUCGCUUGACGAAUAUUGUAGCAGAAUGGAUUGUUUCCGCAGAAACACGUGAGAACAAUGAUGCUGCCUGUGUCUCCAAGGAGCACAGCACCACACGUCGCCAGGAGAGGAUGCUGAGCACCUCUUCUGGCCACCUCCGUACACCUGACUGACUGUAAAACCAUUUUCUAUUUUUAUACACUUCAAGUAUUUAUUUUUAUAUUAUAUAUGUUCUGUUUUCUAUGUCUUCACAUUUUUGAAGUAUUUGCACAGAGCACUACGGUGGAAAAAAAAACGUUAUGAAUACUGUAAGCACUUUAGCGUAACUAACACUCAGGGCUCGGACACAUCAGUGAUGUUGUUAUCUCUGCUGCUACUGCAGAGAGAGCAAACGUGGUUGUCAGCUUCGUGCUUCUCCUCCAUGUUUCUUUCUUUGUUUGUUUGGACUCCUUGUUUACCAGGCGAUAUUACAGCUGACACGGAGAGUCCUGAGGAAUGUGGACUUGGCUAUGGCUAGGCCAUUCAGAAGAGUUUCCACUCUCUCUACAAUGUCUUCUUGCAUUCAUUAUUUAUUAUUAUUAUUAUUAUUAUUAUUAUUAUUAUUAUUAUUGUAUUGUUGUUGUGAUUGUUGAUGAACAAUUCUUAAAUGUGUUCAUGUGGGCGAGGUUCAAGGCUGUAUGAAUCUGUGUGCCUCUCCUUGUCUCUUACCCACAAUGAGUGUGAACGUUUUUUUUUUCGGUUUGUCCAGAUCUUUCCUCGGUCAAAUGUUCAAACUGUCGAAGAAAGUAGAAUAAAAAUGAUUUUGUAUAACA
Molecule: long non-coding RNA, 1912 nt
Filed under: Scleropages formosus (Asian bonytongue)
Lineage: Eukaryota; Metazoa; Chordata; Actinopteri; Osteoglossiformes; Osteoglossidae
Description: lncRNA (ENSSFOG00015028343.1)
Source: RNAcentral